This 523-nucleotide ribosomal RNA is filed under the name uncultured fungus. Its description in RNAcentral is "eukaryotic LSU rRNA". The stretch from base 126 to 279 matches the Rfam family "5.8S ribosomal RNA". Lineage: Eukaryota; Fungi. The record is from RNAcentral.
CGUAUCGUUCCCUCGGCGGGCUCAGCGCGCGGUGCCUCCGGGCUCCGGGCGUCCGGGGGGACAACCAAACUCUGAUUUUAUUGUGAAUCUCUGAGGGGCGAAAGCCCGAAAACAAAAUGAAUCAAAACUUUCAACAACGGAUCUCUUGGCUCUGGCAUCGAUGAAGAACGCAGCGAAAUGCGAUAAGUAAUGUGAAUUGCAGAAUUCAGUGAAUCAUCGAAUCUUUGAACGCACAUUGCGCCCGCCGGCACUCCGGCGGGCAUGCCUGUCCGAGCGUCAUUUCAACCCUCAGGACCCCCUUUCGGGGGGGACCUGGUGCUGGGGAUCAGCGGCCUCCGGGCCCCUGUUUUCAAAUGAGUGGCGGUCGCGCCGCAGCCUCCCCUGCGUAGUAGCACACCUCGCACCGGAGAGCGGCUCGGCCCGCCCGUGAAACCCCCAAUUUUUUAAGGUUGACCUCGGAUCAGUAGGAAUACCCGCCUAAAUUAACAUAUCAAUAAGCGGAGGAAAGGGCGAUUUCGCGGCC